UCUGCUGCCACAGCAACAUUGUUGCACGGAACCUUGUCUGUGCCUGAUUGAUCUGCAUACCAUACCCUUACCACUCUCUCCCCUGACAUGAACAAAUUUUGUCUUGAGGAGAGUGCACUAGGAGAAAGCAAAGGUGGGUUUGCUUUCACUAGCCUGCAGCCCAGGACUCCCCACUCGUGCAAGACCCUGGAGCAAAAGGCCCUUACCGACCUCGCUGGGCUGUGGUUGACAGAGUCACUUUCAGAGGAGCCAAUCCGGCGCGGGAGUUACUGGGAACUCCACAGCCCUUGGAAAUCACCAUUCCACUUUCUGCCUCUAUAAAUCGACUUCCUCUGGACCUCACGUCCUGCAACCUUGCUAGGAGAGGUACCUUGCCAAGACUUCGGGAGAGGAGCAUGUUCAUCUCUGAGGGUAGACAGAUGAUGAGCAGGAUCUCAAGGACAGGCCUUGUUGUUUCCCCGCUGGUCAUCCUUAGCUCACACUCUGUGGUCCCAUCAUAUUUUCCCAAGAUGUUCACUCUUGAUUAAACCUAGCU
Fukomys damarensis (Damara mole-rat) is the source of this 535-nucleotide long non-coding RNA. RefSeq lists it as uncharacterized. The transcript is spliced from 4 exons. The record is from RefSeq and is a predicted model, not a curated record. NCBI's taxonomy places the organism in Eukaryota, Metazoa, Chordata, Mammalia, Rodentia, Bathyergidae.